This 766-nucleotide long non-coding RNA is filed under the name Brassica napus (rape). RNAcentral's name for it is "long non-coding RNA (BNAP_LNC023106)". The record is from RNAcentral. Lineage: Eukaryota; Viridiplantae; Streptophyta; Magnoliopsida; Brassicales; Brassicaceae.
AAAAAUACAAAUAAAAUGGCACAUGGAGUGGUGGAUUCUGAAAGGUGUCACGUCUGACCAACACUUUGACGAAAGCUAAAGAUGAAUUAUUUCCUUCUUCCCCAAAACUCAAUAUGCUAAAGAAGUUUAUAUGUUUGUGUGUGUAGGUCUAUGGAUUAGCUUUGUGACAUGCUCCUCAGAUAUUAAAACAUAAACUUGUGGUUUCAUUUUGUAUCUACUGGGGAUAUGGAGAAUAAUGGUCAGUUGGUGACUUUGCGGUUUUUCCGAAGACAGUAAAUUUUUUACGCCUCCGUCUGUGGUUCCUGCUGUCAAUUACGGACAACCCGGUUUGCUUGGUUCUCCUUCGGAAUAGCAGAUUUGCAACUCUUCCUUAUGUCCAUCGAAACUGAGGCUCAAUCGAGCUUAGCGUCCGUCCAAGUCGAAGAUGAGCUGAGAAACCGCCAUCUGGGUGAAGCUGUGGUGGUUCGAGGUUGGAGCCGCCAUGGACAAAAGCUCGAAGAAUUAUAAAUUUUUGCAUUCCUUGAACUUUUGUAUGUCUUCGUUUCUGCCCCAUUCAUUUCAAAUGUGCAGAUUUCUCUUUGAUUUGACUUCGAACUUUUCAAUUAUACACUCUAGACCCUGCUUUCAUGCAAUUAUGUAUGAAAAUACAAAAUAAAUAUGUGUGUCCACAACUUAUAUGUAAUUUAUGUGUUCACAAUGCAUUAGCCCAAAUUAUUUCUUUAUCUAUCCACAACAUAUAUAUCUACAUAUUCUCUGUCCACAGAGC